Molecule: ribosomal RNA, 404 nt
Filed under: Actinomycetes bacterium
Lineage: Bacteria; Bacillati; Actinomycetota; Actinomycetes
Description: Actinobacteria bacterium partial 16S ribosomal RNA
Rfam family: Bacterial small subunit ribosomal RNA
Source: RNAcentral
UGGGGAAUAUUGGACAAUGGGCGCAAGCCUGAUCCAGCCAUGCCGCGUGAGUGAUUAAGGCCCUAGGGCUGUAAAGCUCUUCCACCGGUGAAGAUAAUGACGGUAACCGGAGAAGAAGCCCCGGCUAACUUCGUGCCAGCAGCCGCGGUAAUACGAAGGGGGCUAGCGUUGUUCGGAUUUACUGGGCGUAAAGCGCACGUAGGCGGACUUUUAAGUCAGGGGUGAAAUCUCGGGGCUCAACCCCGGAACUGCCUUUGAUACUGGAAGUCUUGAGUAUGGUAGAGGUGAGUGGAAUUCCGAGUCUAGAGGUGAAAGUCGUAGAUAUUCGGAGGAACACCAAUGUCGAAGGCGGCUCACUGGACCAUUACUGACGCUGAGGUGCGAAAGCGUGGGGAGCAAACAGG